Molecule: ribosomal RNA, 374 nt
Filed under: uncultured organism
Description: bacterial SSU rRNA
Rfam family: Bacterial small subunit ribosomal RNA
Source: RNAcentral
CGUAGGGUGCGAGCGUUAAUCGGAAUUACUGGGCGUAAAGCGUGCGCAGGCGGUUUUGUAAGACAGGCGUGAAAUCCCCGGGCUCAACCUGGGAACUGCGCUUGUGACUGCAAGGCUAGAGUACGGCAGAGGGGGGUGGAAUUCCACGUGUAGCAGUGAAAUGCGUAGAGAUGUGGAGGAACACCAAUGGCGAAGGCAGCCCCCUGGGUCGAUACUGACGCUCAUGCACGAAAGCGUGGGUAGCAAACAGGAUUAGAUACCCUGGUAGUCCACGCCCUAAACGAUGUCAACUAGGUGUUGGGUGGGUAAAACCAUUUAAGUACCGGAGCUAACGCGUGAAGUUGACCGCCUGGGGAGUACGGCCGCAAAGGUUA